GGGCGGUUAGCUCAGUUGGGAGAGCACUCGCCUUACAAGCGAGAGGCCACUGGUUCGAGCCCAGUACCGCCCA
Molecule: transfer RNA, 73 nt
Filed under: Actinomycetota bacterium
Lineage: Bacteria; Bacillati; Actinomycetota
Description: Actinobacteria bacterium (freshwater metagenome) tRNA-Val
Rfam family: tRNA
About the family: Transfer RNA (tRNA) molecules are approximately 80 nucleotides in length. Their secondary structure includes four short double-helical elements and three loops (D, anti-codon, and T loops). Further hydrogen bonds mediate the characteristic L-shaped molecular structure. tRNAs have two regions of fundamental functional importance: the anti-codon, which is responsible for specific mRNA codon recognition, and the 3' end, to which the tRNAs corresponding amino acid is attached (by aminoacyl-tRNA synthetases). tRNAs cope with the degeneracy of the genetic code in two manners: having more than one tRNA (with a specific anti-codon) for a particular amino acid; and 'wobble' base-pairing, i.e. permitting non-standard base-pairing at the 3rd anti-codon position.
Source: RNAcentral